AAACAUGUCACUUCCUGUUGCCAGCAGGUGGCGCUAUAGCGAUAUCUGAAUAUUGGCAUGUAGAUAUAUUCAGGCCAAGACUCUUUUCGAACAUGUGAAGUUUGGGGAAGAUCGGACAUCUUAUGCCUGAGUUACAACAACUUCUAUUCCCAUGGCGAGACAUCAAACUUUGUCACGGCGCCAUGGUCACACCCUUUAAUGAAACCUCAAGAUGUUCACAAUUUAACAUCGCAAAGGCCUUUAGAUUAGACUGACCAAAAAAAAAUAUAAAAUGUCAUAAAAUAUCUAGGAGUAGUUUGUUACGGCGUAAAACAUGUCACUUCCUGUUGCCAGCAGGUGGCGCUAUAGCAAUAUCUGAAUAUUGGCAUGUAGAUAUAUUCAGGUCAGGAGUCUUCUCAAACAUGUGAAGUUUGGGGCAGAUUGGACAUUGUAUGUCUGAGUUAUAGCAACU
Long non-coding RNA from Cyprinus carpio carpio, 451 nucleotides. Lineage: Eukaryota; Metazoa; Chordata; Actinopteri; Cypriniformes; Cyprinidae. The record is from Ensembl.